Molecule: RNA transcript, 1442 nt
Organism: Arachis ipaensis
Lineage: Eukaryota; Viridiplantae; Streptophyta; Magnoliopsida; Fabales; Fabaceae
Gene name: microtubule-associated protein RP/EB family member 1B
Source: RefSeq, a predicted model, not a curated record
UUAUCCCUAAAUCAAAAUUGAAAAACGGAGAGAGAGAGAGAAAAAAAUUGGAAAAGGAAGAGAAGUAUUAACACCGGGUUAAUUCGCGUACUUUCCUCCAUCGGCGAUCACCACCGCCAUAACCGUUGCCAUCGCCGACAGCUGCCUCCAUCAUCCUACUCCUUGGACCUCAUUUCCAUUCGAUCUACCUCAGAUCCGCAUCACCGUCAUCGUUUGUUCAUCUCAGAUUUACGUCGCCAAGGUCUUCCAGCCACCGUUGCUGCUCUUGUCACAACACCACACCUUAGCCGCUUGCACCGCCGCCAUUCUUGCGUGUAGACGCACAAGAUCGUCGCUGCCGGAUAUCUAUUUGUUUUGUUGUUGUUGCCUGUUCAGAUGCUACACUUAUGUUACGGGCUUUAGUUUUGCCCUUCCGCCUAUGUUUGAUGUUGCUUUGUUAGUUCCUUUACUAGCCCCAGUUUUGUCAUUGCAACAUACCAUUUCCCCAUAUCUAGGCCUUUUAAAGUUAUAACCCUCUUGAAAGGAGAAAGGUUUGUAAGGGAGGAAGAGAAGGUGGCAAGAAAUCAGCCCAAUCACAAGACUUCACCAAGGCUUCUUUAGCACCGAAAUCUCACUCUUCUCAUCCUACUCGAAGAAAUGAAGUGUCGUCUACAAAUGCUGCUGAAAGUCAAGCUGCAAAGAGGUCCUCUUCUUCUGGUGGCCCUUCUUAUGAUGUAAAGGUGUGUGUCUUUUUUUUUUUUUACAAUCUAAAAUUUAUGAAAGCAAUAGUAAAGUGCAUUUAUCUUUACUAAUUCAAAAUCAAUGUCGAUAACUGAGCUGAAGCUAUCCAUCAAUAGCCUUGAGAAGGAGCACAAUUUCUACUUUACGAAAUUGAGGGAUAUUGAGAUACUCUGCCAAACACCAGAGAUAGAACGCUUAUCGGUAAAUGUAAUUCCUAGUGGGAAGUUCAAAUGAAGGGGCGUUGCAAAAAUUGCUCCUUCUCUUAUUGCUGGAAACUCCAUUGUGCUCAAGCCUCCAACUCAAGGAGCUGUUUCUGCUCUUCACAUGGUUCAUUGCUUUCACUUGGCUGGUUUUUCCAAAGGCCUAAGCAACUGUGUUACCGGCAAAGGCUCAGAGAUCGGUGACUUCCUUAGAUUGCAUCCAGGUGUGAACUGCAUAAGCUUCACUGGUGGAGACACGGCAUUGCAAUUUCAAAAAAGGCAGUGAUGAUUUCCCUGCAAACGGAGUUGGGAGGAAAAGAUGCAUGCAUUGUACUUGAGGAUGCUGAUCUUGAUCUUGGUUCCUUAAACUCAAGGAUAUAGCGGCAGCCAUGAUGAAUUAAGAUAUGAACCCAUACACUCAACUUGCACAAGUGGAAGGAGAUAAUAGCUGAGUCUCUGAGAUAUUAGUGAAUUUAUUAAUGAAUGUAUAUAGUUACACAAGUUUAUAGGUUUGUAGCAUUU